UGCUGAACUACAACCAACAAAUGGUGAG
Molecule: non-coding RNA, 28 nt
Filed under: Mus musculus (house mouse)
Lineage: Eukaryota; Metazoa; Chordata; Mammalia; Rodentia; Muridae
Source: RNAcentral